RNAcentral lists this unclassified non-coding RNA (170 nucleotides) under uncultured fungus. RNAcentral describes it as "sequence contains ITS1". The record is from RNAcentral. Lineage: Eukaryota; Fungi.
UUAACUUAUUAUAUGGUACUCAGACGACACGUAAAUUGGAGAGUUGUGGUUCCCCGGCGGGGGCCCGAGGGCCUCCGCCGGAGCAACAAAGGUAAAUAACACAGGGUGGGAGGUCUACCCGCGAGGGCAUGAUCUCGAUAAUGAUCCUUCCGCUGGUUCACCAACGGAAA